Molecule: small nuclear RNA, 164 nt
Organism: Rattus norvegicus (Norway rat)
Lineage: Eukaryota; Metazoa; Chordata; Mammalia; Rodentia; Muridae
Product: U1 spliceosomal RNA
Source: Ensembl
AUACUUACCUGGCAGGGGAGAUACCAUGAUCAUGAAGGUGGUUUUCCCAGGGCGAGGCUUAUCCAUUGCACUCCGGAUGUGCUGACCCCUGAGAUUUCCCCAAAUGCGGGAAACUCGACUGCAUAAUUUGUGGUAGUGGGGGACUGCGUUCGCGCUCUCCCCUG